This 372-nucleotide ribosomal RNA is filed under the name uncultured bacterium. RNAcentral describes it as "partial 16S ribosomal RNA". It matches the Rfam family "Bacterial small subunit ribosomal RNA", at positions 523 to 898 of the family's 1533-position model. The record is from RNAcentral.
AUACGGAGGAUCCGAGCGUUAUCCGGAUUUAUUGGGUUUAAAGGGUGCGCAGGCGGCCAUUUAAGUCAGCGGUUAAAUCGUGGGGCUCAACCCCAUUCUGCCGUUGAUACUGGGUGGCUUGAUUGCGGUCGAGGUUGGCGGAAUUCGUUGUGUAGCGGUGAAAUGCAUAGAUAUGACGAAGAACACCGAUUGCGUAGGCAGCUGACCAGACCGCAAAUGACGCUCAUGCACGAAAGUGCGGGGAUCGAACAGGAUUAGAAACCCUGGUAGUCCGCACAGUAAACGAUGAAUACUUGUUUUCGGCGAUAUAAUGUCGGAGGCAAAGCGAAAGCGAUAAGUAUUCCACCUGGGGAGUACGCCGGCAACGGUGAA